AUUGAACGCUGGCGGCAUGCCUUACACAUGCAAGUCGAACGGUAACGCGGGGCAACCUGGCGACGAGUGGCGAACGGGUGAGUAAUGCAUCGGAACGUGUCCAGUAGUGGGGGAUAGCCCGGCGAAAGCCGGAUUAAUACCGCAUACGACCUACGGGUGAAAGGGGGGGAUCGCAAGACCUCUCGCUAUUGGAGCGGCCGAUGUCAGAUUAGGUAGUUGGUGGGGUAAAGGCCUACCAAGCCUACGAUCUGUAGCUGGUCUGAGAGGACGACCAGCCACACUGGGACUGAGACACGGCCCAGACUCCUACGGGAGGCAGCAGUGGGGAAUUUUGGACAAUGGGCGCAAGCCUGAUUCAGCCAUGCCGCGUGCGGGAAGAAGGCCUUCGGGUUGUAAACCGCUUUUGUCAGGGAAGAAACGCUCUGGACUAAUACUCUGGGGUAAUGACGGUACCUGAAGAAUAAGCACCGGCUAACUACGUGCCAGCCGCCGCAGUAA
This 498-nucleotide ribosomal RNA is filed under the name uncultured bacterium. RNAcentral describes it as "partial 16S ribosomal RNA". It matches the Rfam family "Bacterial small subunit ribosomal RNA", at positions 30 to 523 of the family's 1533-position model. The record is from RNAcentral.